RNAcentral lists this ribosomal RNA (468 nucleotides) under uncultured bacterium. Its description in RNAcentral is "partial 16S ribosomal RNA". It matches the Rfam family "Bacterial small subunit ribosomal RNA", at positions 28 to 507 of the family's 1533-position model. The record is from RNAcentral.
GACGAACGCUGGCGGCGUGCUUAACACAUGCAAGUCGAACGGAAAGGCCCUGCUUUUGUGGGGUGCUCGAGUGGCGAACGGGUGAGUAACACGUGAGUAACCUGCCCUUGACCUUGGGAUAACUUCAGGAAACUGGGGCUAAUACCGGAUAGGAGCUCCUGCUGCAUGGUGGGGGUUGGAAAGUUUCGGCGGUUGGGGAUGGACUCGCGGCUUAUCAGCUUGUUGGUGGGGUAGUGGCUUACCAAGGCUUUGACGGGUAGCUGGCCUGGGAGGGUGACCGGCCACAUUGGGACUGAGAUACGGCCCAGACUCCUACGGGAGGCAGCAGUGGGGAAUAUUGCACAAUGGGCGGAAGCCUGAUGCAGCAACGCCGCGUGCGGGAUGACGGCCUUCGGGUUGUAAACCGCUUUCGCCUGUGACGAAGCGUGAGUGACGGUAAUGGGUAAAGAAGCACCGGCUAACUACGUG